AAAACAAUCCCAGAAGCUCCGAAAAAGUAAGCAGACCGUAUAAUUGCACCCAAAUUCUGAGGAUCAGUAACCUCAUCCAAAGCAACCCAAAGAGGAGUUGUAUCUUCCUCUAUUGAAACAGGUUCCAAUUCCUUGAUACCAACCAUUUCCAAUGGAGAAGUAUCGAGGACCAGUCCUUGAUGAGGCCUGUUAUCACUAAUCAUAUUGAGGUCAUGUUUAGAUACUUCCUUUAUACUUAAUCCAACUUUCUCCGCUGUCCUCAAAACUCUCUCAAACCCUUUCUUAUCCUUCUUCUUCCUGUUAUUCCCACUCAAAUCCAACCCUUCCUGAAUAUAGAGACCAUAAAAUUCCCUUCUCCCAGCUGACAAUGCAGCUAAAACAGGGCCAACACCAUAAACCCCCUCGCCUAUCAUUCUCGGUAGGGUUGAUUCAGAAGCCUCUUUCCAUGUCUUUUUACCCCAACUAUCUUGAUUGUUCCACCUUCUAACCUCCGGCCUAUCAGACCUCGGUCUUACCUUAAUCCGACUGAACCUGCUCUUAAUCCUAUCCCAUCUCGGAUCAUCCAUUUCUCCUUCAUCAUCUUCUUCUCCACUAUUACUUGUGCUCUUAUAAUUGUCUCGUCUAUCCUCAUAUCUCUUAAAUUCUACACUUCCCUCAGCACCUUUAAACAAUUUAUCAGCCGAUUCCCCCCAAGAAGACCUGUUCAGAACCACCUUUUCAGGUCUUUUAGUUUGUUUAACUUUAUCUUCUUCAAGCCAAGGAAGACUCUUUUCACUACCCUCUGCAAUUUCCGUUGAAAAACUUCUAACAGUAAUCGAAUGUUGGUGAGAUUUCGGGCGAACCCCACAUGAAAAGUUCAUAGAUAUUUCUAAGUUCCAAAGGGGUUUAGUAGAGCAGAAAAGGAGUAAAGAUCUGGGGGUAUGAAACUGUUUCAGCAUAAUGGAUAAGAAACCCUUUAGAGAGAAGAUCAAUGGCUGCUGCGAGCUGGACUAUAUUCACCUCAAGGAUUUUAG
Molecule: unclassified non-coding RNA, 1013 nt
Filed under: Hevea brasiliensis (rubber tree)
Lineage: Eukaryota; Viridiplantae; Streptophyta; Magnoliopsida; Malpighiales; Euphorbiaceae
Source: RNAcentral